RNAcentral lists this ribosomal RNA (486 nucleotides) under uncultured bacterium. RNAcentral's name for it is "bacterial SSU rRNA". It matches the Rfam family "Bacterial small subunit ribosomal RNA", at positions 27 to 507 of the family's 1533-position model. The record is from RNAcentral.
CGAUUGAACGCUGGCGGCAUGCCUUACACAUGCAAGUCGAACGGCAGCACGGGGGCAACCCUGGUGGCGAGUGGCGAACGGGUGAGUAAUAUAUCGGAACAUGCCCUGAAGUGGGGGAUAACGUAGCGAAAGUUACGCUAAUACCGCAUAUUCUGUGAGCAGGAAAGAGGGGGAUCGCAAGACCUCUCGCUUUAGGAGUGGCCGAUAUCGGAUUAGCUAGUUGGUGAGGUAAAGGCUCACCAAGGCGACGAUCCGUAGCGGGUCUGAGAGGAUGAUCCGCCACACUGGGACUGAGACACGGCCCAGACUCCUACGGGAGGCAGCAGUGGGGAAUUUUGGACAAUGGGCGCAAGCCUGAUCCAGCCAUGCCGCGUGAGUGAAGAAGGCCUUCGGGUUGUAAAGCUCUUUCGGCGGGGAAGAAAUUGCUCAGGAUAAUACCUUGAGUAGAUGACGGUACCCGCAUAAGAAGCACCGGCUAACUACGUG